CCCGUAACGAGCGCAACCCUUGUCCUUAGUUACCAGCACGUUAUGGUGGGCACUCUAAGGAGACUGCCGGUGACAAACCGGAGGAAAGGUGGGGAUGACGUCAAGUCAUCAUGGCCCUUACGGCCUGGGCUACACACGUGCUACAAUGGUCGGUACAAAGGGUUGCUAAGCCGCGAGGUGGAGCUAAUCCCAUAAAACCGAUCGUAGUCCGGAUCGCAGUCUGCAACUCGACUGCGUGAAGUCGGAAUCGCUAGUAAUCGUGAAUCAGAAUGUCACGGUGAAUACGUUCCCGGGCCUU
Molecule: ribosomal RNA, 298 nt
Filed under: uncultured Pseudomonas sp.
Lineage: Bacteria; Pseudomonadati; Pseudomonadota; Gammaproteobacteria; Pseudomonadales; Pseudomonadaceae
Description: partial 16S ribosomal RNA
Rfam family: Bacterial small subunit ribosomal RNA
Source: RNAcentral